This 429-nucleotide ribosomal RNA is filed under the name Bacteroidota bacterium. RNAcentral describes it as "Bacteroidetes bacterium partial 16S ribosomal RNA". It matches the Rfam family "Bacterial small subunit ribosomal RNA", at positions 355 to 776 of the family's 1533-position model. Lineage: Bacteria; Pseudomonadati; Bacteroidota. The record is from RNAcentral.
UAGGGAAUCUUCCGCAAUGGACGCAAGUCUGACGGAGCAACGCCGCGUGAGUGAAGAAGGAUUUCGGUUCGUAAAACUCUGUUGUUAGAGAAGAACAGCGCAUAGAGUAACUGUUAUGCGUGUGACGGUAUCUAACCAGAAAGCCACGGCUAACUACGUGCCAGCAGCCGCGGUAAUACGUAGGUGGCAAGCGUUGUCCGGAUUUAUUGGGCGUAAAGCGAGCGCAGGCGGUCAAUUAAGUCUGAUGUGAAAGCCCCCGGCUCAACCGGGGAGGGUCAUUGGAAACUGGUUGACUUGAGUGCAGAAGAGGAGAGUGGAAUUCCAUGUGGAGCGGUAAAAUGCGUAGAUAUAUGGAGGAACACCAGUGGCGAAGGCGACUCUCUGGUCUGUAACUGACGCUGAGGCUCGAAAGCGUGGGUAGCAAACAGG